RNAcentral lists this ribosomal RNA (618 nucleotides) under Lacticaseibacillus rhamnosus. RNAcentral describes it as "bacterial SSU rRNA". It matches the Rfam family "Bacterial small subunit ribosomal RNA", at positions 396 to 1005 of the family's 1533-position model. Lineage: Bacteria; Bacillati; Bacillota; Bacilli; Lactobacillales; Lactobacillaceae. The record is from RNAcentral.
GCCGCGUGAGUGAAGAAGGCUUUCGGGUCGUAAAACUCUGUUGUUGGAGAAGAAUGGUCGGCAGAGUAACUGUUGUCGGCGUGACGGUAUCCAACCAGAAAGCCACGGCUAACUACGUGCCAGCAGCCGCGGUAAUACGUAGGUGGCAAGCGUUAUCCGGAUUUAUUGGGCGUAAAGCGAGAGCAGGCGGUUUUUUAAGUCUGAUGUGAAAGCCCUCGGCUUAACCGAGGAAGUGCAUCGGAAACUGGGAAACUUGAGUGCAGAAGAGGACAGUGGAACUCCAUGUGUAGCGGUGAAAUGCGUAGAUAUAUGGAAGAACACCAGUGGCGAAGGCGGCUGUCUGGUCUGUAACUGACGCUGAGGCUCGAAAGCAUGGGUAGCGAACAGGAUUAGAUACCCUGGUAGUCCAUGCCGUAAACGAUGAAUGCUAGGUGUUGGAGGGUUUCCGCCCUUCAGUGCCGCAGCUAACGCAUUAAGCAUUCCGCCUGGGGAGUACGACCGCAAGGUUGAAACUCAAAGGAAUUGACGGGGGCCCGCACAAGCGGUGGAGCAUGUGGUUUAAUUCGAAGCAACGCGAAGAACUUUACCAGGUCUUGACAUCUUUUGAUCACCUGAGAA